GAUGAACGCUGGCGGCGUGCCUAAUACAUGCAAGUCGAGCGAACAGACGAGGAGCUUGCUCCUCUGACGUUAGCGGCGGACGGGUGAGUAACACGUGGAUAACCUACCUCUAUGACUGGGAUAACUUCGUGAAACCGGAGCUACUACCGGCUAAUAUAUUGUACCGCAUGGUUCAAUAGUGAAAGACGGUUUUGCUGUCACUUAUAGAUGGAUCCGCGCCGCAUUAGCUAGUUGGUAAGGUAACGGCUUACCAAGGCAACGAUGCGUAGCCGACCUGAGAGGGUGAUCGGCCACACUGGAACUGAGACACGGUCCAGACUCCUACGGGAGGCAGCAGUAGGGAAUCUUCCACAAUGGGCGAAAGCCUGACGGAGCAACGCCGCGUGAGUGAUGAAGGUCUUCGGAUCGUAAAACUCUGUUAUUAGGGAAGAACAAAUGUGUAAGUAACUAUGCACGUCUUGACGGUACCUAAUCAGAAAGCCACGGCUAACUACGUG
This 497-nucleotide ribosomal RNA is filed under the name uncultured bacterium. RNAcentral's name for it is "partial 16S ribosomal RNA". It matches the Rfam family "Bacterial small subunit ribosomal RNA", at positions 28 to 507 of the family's 1533-position model. The record is from RNAcentral.